RNAcentral lists this ribosomal RNA (643 nucleotides) under uncultured Actinomycetes bacterium. RNAcentral describes it as "bacterial SSU rRNA". It matches the Rfam family "Bacterial small subunit ribosomal RNA", at positions 232 to 885 of the family's 1533-position model. The record is from RNAcentral. Lineage: Bacteria; Bacillati; Actinomycetota; Actinomycetes.
CGCGGCCUAUCAGCUUGUUGGUGAGGUAAUGGCUCACCAAGGCGACGACGGGUAGCCGGCCUGAGAGGGCGACCGGCCACACUGGGACUGAGACACGGCCCAGACUCCUACGGGAGGCAGCAGUGGGGAAUAUUGCACAAUGGGCGCAAGCCUGAUGCAGCGACGCCGCGUGGGGGAUGAAGGCCUUCGGGUUGUAAACCCCUUUCAGCAGGGAAGAAGCGAAAGUGACGGUACCUGCAGAAGAAGCGCCGGCUAACUACGUGCCAGCAGCCGCGGUAAUACGUAGGGCGCAAGCGUUGUCCGGAAUUAUUGGGCGUAAAGAGCUCGUAGGCGGUUUGUCGCGUCUGCUGUGAAAAUCCAAGGCUCAACCUUGGACUUGCAGUGGGUACGGGCAGACUAGAGUGUGGUAGGGGAGACUGGAAUUCCUGGUGUAGCGGUGGAAUGCGCAGAUAUCAGGAGGAACACCAAUGGCGAAGGCAGGUCUCUGGGCCACAACUGACGCUGAGGAGCGAAAGCAUGGGGAGCAAACAGGAUUAGAUACCCUGGUAGUCCAUGCCGUAAACGGUGGGCACUAGAUGUGGGGCUCUUUCCAUGAGUUCCGCGUCGCAGCUAACGCAUUAAGUGCCCCGCCUGGGGAGUACGG